RNAcentral lists this ribosomal RNA (910 nucleotides) under human gut metagenome. RNAcentral describes it as "bacterial SSU rRNA". It matches the Rfam family "Bacterial small subunit ribosomal RNA", at positions 8 to 919 of the family's 1533-position model. The record is from RNAcentral.
AGAGUUUGAUCCUGGCUCAGGAUGAACGCUGGCGGCGUGCCUAAUACAUGCAAGUCGAACGCUUCACUUCGGUGAAGAGUGGCGAACGGGUGAGUAAUACAUAAGUAACCUGGCAUCUACAGGGGGAUAACUGAUGGAAACGUCAGCUAAGACCGCAUAGGUGUAGAGAUCGCAUGAACUCUAUAUGAAAAGUGCUACGGGACUGGUAGAUGAUGGACUUAUGGCGCAUUAGCUGGUUGGUAGGGUAACGGCCUACCAAGGCGACGAUGCGUAGCCGACCUGAGAGGGUGACCGGCCACACUGGGACUGAGACACGGCCCAGACUCCUACGGGAGGCAGCAGUAGGGAAUUUUCGGCAAUGGGGGAAACCCUGACCGAGCAACGCCGCGUGAAGGAAGAAGUAAUUCGUUAUGUAAACUUCUGUCAUAGAGGAAGAACGGUGGAUAUAGGGAAUGAUAUCCAAGUGACGGUACUCUAUAAGAAAGCCACGGCUAACUACGUGCCAGCAGCCGCGGUAAUACGUAGGUGGCGAGCGUUAUCCGGAAUUAUUGGGCGUAAAGAGGGAGCAGGCGGCACUAAGGGUCUGUGGUGAAAGAUCGAAGCUUAACUUCGGUAAGCCAUGGAAACCGUAGAGCUAGAGUGUGUGAGAGGAUCGUGGAAUUCCAUGUGUAGCGGUGAAAUGCGUAGAUAUAUGGAGGAACACCAGUGGCGAAGGCGACGAUCUGGCGCAUAACUGACGCUCAGUCCCGAAAGCGUGGGGAGCAAAUAGGAUUAGAUACCCUAGUAGUCCACGCCGUAAACGAUGAGUACUAAGUGUUGGGAGUCAAAUCUCAGUGCUGCAGUUAACGCAAUAAGUACUCCGCCUGAGUAGUACGUUCGCAAGAAUGAAACUCAAAGGAAUUGACGGGGG